UCAAUUGACUUUCAAUUUUAUCCUCUUAAUUUUAAAAAUAAUAUAAUAUAUCCACACCCUUCUAAUAUUUCCAAAGUAUAUUAACUAACUUCUCUUCCACCCUGCAAUUAUUUAAUAUUUUAAAACUAUGUAACAUAUCGGUCCCUAUCUUCCUAAAUUUACACUAAUUAACAACCUUUUCACUUUUCUCAAAAAAAUUAACAACCUUUUCACGUGUAAUUUUCUACUCUCACCAUUCUUUUUUUUUUUCCUCUUUAAAACCUU
This 264-nucleotide long non-coding RNA is filed under the name Ananas comosus (pineapple). Its description in RNAcentral is "long non-coding RNA (ACOM_LNC000098)". The record is from RNAcentral. Lineage: Eukaryota; Viridiplantae; Streptophyta; Magnoliopsida; Poales; Bromeliaceae.